Molecule: long non-coding RNA, 994 nt
Organism: Ipomoea nil (Japanese morning glory)
Lineage: Eukaryota; Viridiplantae; Streptophyta; Magnoliopsida; Solanales; Convolvulaceae
Exons: 3
Source: RefSeq, a predicted model, not a curated record
UUCGCCUCCUCCGCCUCCUUCGCCUCCUCCGCCUCCUUCGCCUCUCCCUCUCCGGUGUGUAACCUUCUUCUCGCUUCUCGCAAAUUUGUCCCUUCAAAGCUGUAAUCCAUGGUUUCCAAUGGCUAUCCUUGUUGUAUCUGGAUCAAGAGUCGUUUAUCGACCGUGGUUAAGCUUUUUAUCCACAAUAUCGCGCUUUGUUCGAAGCUCUCAAAUCCAACCCUAGACUAUAGUAAUUCCACUUAUGCUUACAAAAUACCCGAAUUUCUAAACUAAACUCGCAAAUUUCAUUAUCUAAAACCUAACCCUAACUCUUUCUGCUAGCCGAUUGAUUCUACUCAACUGCCGCUGAUUUUGCGAUGUUAGUUCACAAACCUAAUUCCAGAAUGCCUUAGUGGAAGUACAGUGAGGUCAACAACACUAUAAGACAAAGUCCAGAUUUAGAUUUUAAAACAUUGGAAAAGACUAUUCCUUGCUCUUGCUUGUUGUUCCUCCUUGCAGUUCACGGGUUUCGUAAAUUUGGACCAACCGGACUCUUAUUGCUCCUCUGCUCCUGUGGAGAGGGCUAACCUGAGAAGCAAAAUGUAUUCUUAGGGGCUUUUUACAGCAAAAUUCGGAAAGUUAAUUUGAAAGGUUUUCGUUUGUGGAGUUGAAUAUCUGAUUACACCGCCACUAUUUAUAGUAGAUUUUCAAUCAGAUAUUGUGGUUUGUUCUAUGCCCCUUCGAAAAAAAAACAAAGUGUCUUGGAAGUAUGAAGAUCUAACAAAACGUUUCAGAUUCCAAGAGCAGAUCCAUUAUUGUUAUGUUCAAUUAAAUUUAAAAUAGAUCUGAUUUAUUACGAUGUAUUAGUAGUAUUGCAGGUUUGCUUCUCGAUUAUUUAUUAAUAUGUAAUUAAUUCAAAUUUAAAAUGUAACAGAAAACAUAGAUGCUAAACCUCCUAGAUAUCUGUAAAACAAUAUAAACAGCAUUUAGUACUCCUGGAUUGAGUCUACCUAGU